AAACUGCGCGUCGGAAUGUGAACUGCAGGACAUAUGAUCAUCGACACUUUGAACGCACAUUGCGGGCACUGGCUCGUCCACUGCCCAUGUCUGGCUCAGGGUCGGUUUUGCAUCCCUCCCGAGAGAUUUCUCUCGGGCACUGGGCCCUCGCCUCUCCUCUCGGGGAGGCGUGGCCUCAAGUUUCGAGCGCGUCCAGCUGGUGGGCGGCCACGACUCUUGGGAUUCUCUCCCGGGUCCGGUCCCCCUCCGACGUGUUGGUCGUGCGCCUGGCGGCCCCUUCUCCGGCCGCUGGCCCCCCCUUUGCUUUUCGACCUGAGAGCAGGCAAGGUGACCCGCCAAAUUUAAGCAUAUUAAUAAGCGGAGGAAAAGAAAACAACCGUGAUGCCCUUAGUAAUGGCGAAUGAAACGGGCAGAGCCCAGCACCGAACCGCCGGCCUUCGGUCGCGUGGAAUGUGGUGUUCGGGGGAGCCUCCUCGCAGCGAGACGGCCGGUCCAAGUCCACCUUGACUGGGGCCACGGCC
This 521-nucleotide ribosomal RNA is filed under the name Mesocyclops pehpeiensis. RNAcentral's name for it is "eukaryotic LSU rRNA". The stretch from base 309 to 521 matches the Rfam family "Eukaryotic large subunit ribosomal RNA", at positions 1 to 204 of the family's 3401-position model. Lineage: Eukaryota; Metazoa; Arthropoda; Copepoda; Cyclopoida; Cyclopidae. The record is from RNAcentral.